UACGUAGGUCCCGAGCGCUGUCCGGAUUUAUUGGGCGUAAAGCGAGCGCAGGUAGUUUAUUAAGUCUGGUGUAAAAGGCAGUGGCUCAACCAUUGUAUGCAUUAGAAACUGGUAGACUUGAGUGCAGGAGAGGAGAGUGGAAUUCCAUGUGUAGCGGUGAAAUGCGUAGAUAUAUGGAGGAACACCGGUGGCGAAAGCGGCUCUCUGGCCUGUAACUGACACUGAGGCUCGAAAGCGUGGGGAGCAAACAGG
Molecule: ribosomal RNA, 252 nt
Filed under: uncultured bacterium
Lineage: Bacteria
Description: partial 16S ribosomal RNA
Rfam family: Bacterial small subunit ribosomal RNA
Source: RNAcentral